UGUCCCAUGGCUUAGUUGGUUACGGCGUCCGACUGUUAUAUCCAAUCAUCGGAAGAUCGAGAGUUCGAGUCUCUCUGGGACAG
RNAcentral lists this transfer RNA (83 nucleotides) under Laccaria bicolor S238N-H82. It matches the Rfam family "tRNA". Rfam says of the family: Transfer RNA (tRNA) molecules are approximately 80 nucleotides in length. Lineage: Eukaryota; Fungi; Basidiomycota; Agaricomycetes; Agaricales; Hydnangiaceae. The record is from Rfam by way of RNAcentral.